This 249-nucleotide long non-coding RNA is filed under the name Brassica napus (rape). RNAcentral describes it as "long non-coding RNA (BNAP_LNC021489)". Lineage: Eukaryota; Viridiplantae; Streptophyta; Magnoliopsida; Brassicales; Brassicaceae. The record is from RNAcentral.
CCCGCCUAGUCUUCGACGCCUUCGACACCUCUGUAGAUGCCAACAUCGAUAUCCCUUCAACGCUUUUACGAAUCCUCGAUCUCUCCAGCGAUGACAAACUCACAGAAGCAUCGCGUUCUCCACCCUUCUUCGACUCUUGAACCGCUUCGUCACUCCCAUAAUCGAAAUUCCUCAUCGCUCCGAAAAUCAUUACCUCCCUUCCAUUCCUUGUGAACUUCGUCUUUACCAUCUCUACAAGAGAAAUCCCCA